CCGGCGACCGGCGCACGGGUGAGUAACACGUAUGGAACCUGCCCGCGAGCAGGGGGAUAAGCGGAAGAAAUUCCGUCUAAUACCGCGUAACAACGGUUGGGAGGCAUCUCCCGAUGUUUUAAAGAUUUAUCGGCUGCGGAUGGCCAUGCGGCGCAUUAGCUAGUCGGCGGGGUAACGGCCCACCGAGGCGACGAUGCGUAGGGGGUUCUGAGAGGAAGGUCCCCCACACUGGUACUGAGACACGGACCAGACUCCUACGGAAGGCAGCAG
This 270-nucleotide ribosomal RNA is filed under the name uncultured bacterium. RNAcentral's name for it is "partial 16S ribosomal RNA". It matches the Rfam family "Bacterial small subunit ribosomal RNA", at positions 88 to 354 of the family's 1533-position model. The record is from RNAcentral.